UACAGAGGUCUCAAGCGUUGUUCGGAUUCAUUGGGCGUAAAGGGUGCGUAGGUGGCAUGGUAAGUCGGAUGUGAAAUCUCGGAGCUUAACUCCGAAACUGCAUUCGAUACUGCCGUGCUUGAGGACUGGAGAGGAGACUGGAAUUUACGGUGUAGCGGUGAAAUGCGUAGAUAUCGUAAGGAAGACCAGUGGCGAAGGCGGGUCUCUGGACAGUUCCUGACGCUGAGGCACGAAGGUCAGGGGAGCAAACGGG
Molecule: ribosomal RNA, 253 nt
Filed under: uncultured bacterium
Lineage: Bacteria
Description: partial 16S ribosomal RNA
Rfam family: Bacterial small subunit ribosomal RNA
Source: RNAcentral